UAAUAGAUACGCUGUCCAAAGACAGCAGGUGCAGUUAAAACUGCUUAAAGUUUUCGCCUGCCGAGGAACGAGCGUAAAGUUAUAAUUGUGUAAUUUUGUGCCUUUCCUCUUCUAACAGGGGAAAGGCUUUUUUAAUAC
RNAcentral lists this small RNA (138 nucleotides) under bovine gut metagenome. Its description in RNAcentral is "Ribosomal protein L10 leader". It matches the Rfam family "Ribosomal protein L10 leader". From Rfam's summary of the family: This family is a putative r-protein leader autoregulatory structure found in B. subtilis and other low-GC Gram-positive bacteria. It is located in the 5' untranslated regions of mRNAs encoding ribosomal proteins L10 and L12 (rplJ-rplL). A Rho-independent transcription terminator structure that is probably involved in regulation is included at the 3' end. The record is from RNAcentral.